CAAUAGCGUAUAUUAAAGUUGUUGCAGUUAAAAAGCUCGUAGUUGGAUUUCGGGGUGGCCUGCCUGGUCCACCGCAAGGUGAGUACUGGUCAGCCGCCCUUCCUCUCGAAAGCCCCGACUGCUCUUCAUUGCAGUGGUCGGGUAGUUCGGGACGUUUACUUUGAAAAAAUUAGAGUGUUCAAGGCAGGCCGUCGCCUGAAUACAUUAGCAUGGAAUAAUGGAAGAGGACCUCGGUCCUAUUUUGUUGGUUUCUAGGGCCGAAGUAAUGAUUAAGAGGGACAGUUGGGGGCAUUCGUAUUUAAUUGUCAGAGGUGAAAUUCUUGGAUUUAUGAAAGACGAACUAGUGCGAAAGCAUUUGCCAAGGAUGUUUUCAUUGA
Molecule: ribosomal RNA, 377 nt
Filed under: uncultured eukaryote
Lineage: Eukaryota
Description: partial 18S ribosomal RNA
Rfam family: Eukaryotic small subunit ribosomal RNA
Source: RNAcentral